Non-coding RNA from Physcomitrium patens, 1374 nucleotides. NCBI's taxonomy places the organism in Eukaryota, Viridiplantae, Streptophyta, Bryopsida, Funariales, Funariaceae. The record is from RefSeq and is a predicted model, not a curated record.
GUUAAAUCUUUCCCUCAAUAAUAAAUAAAAUAAAAUCCUCUCUGGCUCUUAUGGCACAAAGCAAAGGGCUUUCAUGAUGUGUCACACCUUUUUGCUUAAGCAGCAUCAAGUCAGAGUUCUCCUUGUUCUCUAUGACUAAGCAAAAGCACUGAGGUGCAUACUUGGCAUCAUUCCCCCGUUUCCCCUGGUGACAUCAAAUUGGCAAACAUUUAUUUCCGGUGAAGACUUAAACACUGAUGUGAAACAGAUAGUUUCUGGGCAUCUGCAGAAGUGAAGAUCAUUAGGUUGGGUUACCUCUUAUCUUCUUCUUCUUCUCCUUCUUCUUCUUCUCCUUUUCGUUUUCUUCUUCUUACGUUUCUGUUUCCUUCAAUGUAUAUAUAUUUCUUUCUUUUGCCUUUUUGUCUUUCAACUACCUGCAUGUUUGAGGUGUGAUGGAGUUGUGUGUCUAUGUUUGUUGGUGCAAGGGUUUUGUCUUGGAAAGAGGGCUCAAUUGAGAGGAAGGAGGGAAGAAGAAGAAGAAGGAGAAGAUUUUAUUUUUGUUCUUGUUUUUUUAAUUUUUGGUGGGGCUAGUGUGAAGGGUGUCCACUAAUUGGCGAUCCUUUGCAUGCCCAACCCACUUGCACGUGACCCAUGAUGCUGGGAUAUUAGGUUCGUGGUUAUCAACCUCUCUAUAAGUAGCAAUCCAUUUGGGAGCUUCACAACCUCGUGGUUGCGGCACUCCUUUCUAUGGAUGGAAAGGAGAAGGGAAAAAAAAAGCACACACACUCCCUCUAUAAGAAAGUGGCAAAAAGAAAAAAUGAAAAUAAAUAAAUAAAUAAAUAAAUAAAUAAAGGAAAGAAGGAAAGAAGGAAAGAAGGAAGAAGGAAAAUGCUAUUGUUUAUUUCAUAUGGAGAUAAACCAAAAUAAUUGAGUUCAUUAGUGGAGUGGAGUUGAACUUCAUGGUCCCCUUGGUCCAAACCUCCUUACAAUUUUUGCCUCAUGAAAACAUCCCCAUGUUUCGGCAUCAAGCUCUACACCAAGUUAUGUGUUUAUAUUUGCAAUUUCUUGUUAUUGGAUGCUUAUCUUUUGUUUUUUUGUUUUUUGUUUUUGUUUUUUUGAUAGUGUUUUGUUUUGUCACCACUUGUGAAUGUCCAAAUAUUGUUCAAUAAGAUUGCUAAAGAUAAAUCUCCUAUGAUUUGUGCUUUUAUUUCAUUGGAGAAGUUGUUGAUCUCAAGGAGCUCAAUGACAACUAGGUCAUGCCUCAGAUUAAACUUUGUUUGUGUUCUGAAUAGUUGUGGUUAGUUUCAUGCAAUGUUUUCUUUUAGAGUGAAAAGAAUUCAGCAUGCUUUACAAAGCACCCGAAAGAAAUAAAUGAAAUAAAUGUUUAGUUAAUUU